UCAACCAACACAAGUCCACGUCAGGGUUCCACGGAACCUGGUACAAAGAAAAAGAAAACCAAAUCCAAACACAGUGAGAACAAAAGCAAUAGAAGGUAGAGUGCUGAAUAAUAAUAAUAAAAAAAAACACCUGUAAUUCAGAACCACUAGUCAGAACUGUCUAGAAUUCAAAAGGUUAGACUGUGUUAGCUUCAUCCCCAAAAAAAAAAAAAACACGUGUUAGUAGAAGAGAAAAGUGUCACAGCAGUUAUUAUUCUCCUCAUUAAAAAGUCAAACGGACAAAA
Cynoglossus semilaevis (tongue sole) is the source of this 284-nucleotide long non-coding RNA. RefSeq lists it as uncharacterized. The transcript has 2 exons. The record is from RefSeq and is a predicted model, not a curated record. NCBI's taxonomy places the organism in Eukaryota, Metazoa, Chordata, Actinopteri, Pleuronectiformes, Cynoglossidae.